AACGAACGCUGGCGGCAUGCCUAACACAUGCAAGUCGAACGAGACCUUCGGGUCUAGUGGCGCACGGGUGCGUAACGCGUGGGAACCUGCCCUUAUGUUCGGAAUAACUCCCCGAAAGGGGGGCUAAUACCGGAUAAUGUCUUCGGACCAAAGAUUUAUCGCCUUUGGAUGGGCCCGCGUUGGAUUAGCUAGUUGGUAGGGUAAAAGCCUACCAAGGCGACGAUCCAUAGCUGGUCUGAGAGGAUGAUCAGCCACACUGGGACUGAGACACGGCCCAGACUCCUACGGGAGGCAGCAGUGGGGAAUAUUGGACAAUGGGGGAAAGCCUGAUCCAGCCAUGCCGCGUGAGUGAUGAAGGCCUUAGGGUUGUAAAGCUCUUUUAGCCGGGAUGAUAAUGACAGUACCGGGAGAAUAAGCCCCGGCUAACUCCGUG
Molecule: ribosomal RNA, 433 nt
Filed under: uncultured bacterium
Lineage: Bacteria
Description: partial 16S ribosomal RNA
Rfam family: Bacterial small subunit ribosomal RNA
Source: RNAcentral